CAGCAGCCGCGGUAAUACGGAGGAUCCAAGCGUUAUCCGGAAUCAUUGGGUUUAAAGGGUCCGUAGGUGGAUGAUUAAGUCAGAGGUGAAAUCCUGCAGCUCAACUGUAGAAUUGCCUUUGAUACUGGUUGUCUUGAGUUAUUAUGAAGUAGAUAGAAUAUGUAGUGUAGCGGUGAAAUGCAUAGAUAUUACAUAGAAUACCAAUUGCGAAGGCAGAUUACUAAUAAUAUACUGACGCUGAUGGACGAAAGCGUGGGGAGCGAACAGGAUUAGAUACCCUGGUAGUCCACGCCGUAAACGAUGGUCACUAGCUGUUCGAACCUUGGUUUGAGUGGCUAAGCGAAAGUGAUAAGUGACCCACCUGGGGAGUACGUUCGCAAGAAUGAAACUCAAAGGAAUUGACGGGGGCCCGCACAAGCGGUGGAGCAUGUGGUUUAAUUCGAUGAUACGCGAGGAACCUUACCUGGGCUUAAAUGUAGAUUGACAGGCUUAGAGAUAGAUUUUCCGCAAGGACAAUUUACAAGGUGCUGCAUGGUUGUCGUCAGCUCGUGCCGUGAGGUGUCAGGUUAAGUCCUAUAACGAGCGCAACCCCUCUCGUUAGUUGCCAGCGAGUAAUGUCGGGAACUCUAACGAGACUGCCAGUGCAAACUGAGAGGAAGGUGGGGAUGACGUCAAAUCAUCACGGCCCUUACGUCCUGGGGUACACACGUGCUACAAUGGUGGGGACAGA
RNAcentral lists this ribosomal RNA (730 nucleotides) under uncultured bacterium TAYNAYA-16. Its description in RNAcentral is "bacterial SSU rRNA". It matches the Rfam family "Bacterial small subunit ribosomal RNA", at positions 509 to 1243 of the family's 1533-position model. The record is from RNAcentral. Lineage: Bacteria; Pseudomonadati; Bacteroidota; Flavobacteriia.